GUGCUGUCAGGGAACGAGAUCCAACGGUGAGCUAAGCAUGUAGGGCCGGAGACGUAGGGCUUUCGGACGGGGGUUCAACUCCCCCCACCUCCACCA
RNAcentral lists this transfer-messenger RNA (96 nucleotides) under Betaproteobacteria bacterium HGW-Betaproteobacteria-12. RNAcentral's name for it is "partial transfer-messenger RNA". It matches the Rfam family "transfer-messenger RNA", at positions 275 to 374 of the family's 374-position model. Rfam says of the family: Bacterial tmRNA, also known as 10Sa RNA or SsrA, is named for its dual tRNA and mRNA-like properties. RNAcentral also lists the same sequence under 2 other names. The record is from RNAcentral. Lineage: Bacteria; Pseudomonadati; Pseudomonadota; Betaproteobacteria.